UAAGACUUACGGGAAACUAGGCCGUAUCUUCUGAAUGCAACACAGACACUUUAACUAAGCUAAAGCCUUG
This 70-nucleotide transfer RNA is filed under the name Anolis chrysolepis (goldenscale Anole). RNAcentral's name for it is "tRNA-Ala". The record is from RNAcentral. Lineage: Eukaryota; Metazoa; Chordata; Lepidosauria; Squamata; Anolidae.